UUUGGAUUCAAUACAUAAAAGACUAAAUUUGGUAGCUUUAAAAGUUGCAGACUAAAAUUGGAAAUGAGUGAUAGUCA
Molecule: long non-coding RNA, 77 nt
Organism: Ipomoea nil (Japanese morning glory)
Lineage: Eukaryota; Viridiplantae; Streptophyta; Magnoliopsida; Solanales; Convolvulaceae
Exons: 3
Source: RefSeq, a predicted model, not a curated record